This 253-nucleotide ribosomal RNA is filed under the name uncultured bacterium. Its description in RNAcentral is "partial 16S ribosomal RNA". It matches the Rfam family "Bacterial small subunit ribosomal RNA", at positions 524 to 776 of the family's 1533-position model. The record is from RNAcentral.
CACGUAGGGGACGAGCGUUGUCCGGAUUCAUUGGGCGUAAAGCGCGCGCAGGCGGUCCUUUAAGUCUGAUGUGAAAGCCCACGGCUCAACCGUGGAGGGUCAUUGGAAACUGGGGGACUUGAGUACAGAAGAGAAGAGUGGAAUUCCACGUGUAGCGAUGAAAUGCGUAGAGAUGUGGAGGAACACCAGUGGCGAAGGCGACUCUUUGGUCUGUAACUGACGCUGAGGCGCGAAAGCGUGGGGAGCAAACAGG